GAGUGGAAGUUGGCCCAGUGAUAUCAGAAGAGGUACAGCCCCAAACAAAGUGGCAUCCAGGGAGUGGAAGUUGGCCCAGUAAUAUCAGAAGAGGUACAGUCCCAAACAAAGUGGCAUCCAGGGAGUGGAAGUUGGCCCAGUGAUAUCAGAAGAGGUACAGCCCCAAACAAAGUGGCAUCCGGAGUGUAGAAGAUGGCCCAGUGAUAUCAGAAGAGGUCCAGCCCCAAAACAAAGUGGCAUCCAGAGUGUAGAAGAUGGCCCAUUGAUAUCAGAAGAGGUACAGCCCCAAACAAAGUGGCAUCCAGAGUGUAGAAGUUGGCCCAGUGAUAUCAGAAGAGGUACAGCCCCUUACAAAGUGGCAUCAAGGAAGUAAAGUUGCCCCAGUGGUAUCAGAAGAGGUCCAGCCCCAAACAAAGUGGCAUCAAGGAAGUAGAAGUUGGCCCAGUGAUAUCAGAAGAGGUACAGCCCCUAACAAAGUGGCAUCAAGGAAGUAGAAGUUGCCCCAGUGAUAUCAGAAGAGGAACAGCCCCAAACAAAGUGGCAUCAAGGAAGUAGAAGUUGACCCAGUGGUAUCAGAAGAGGUCCAGCCCCAAACAAAGUGGCAUCAAGGAAGUAGAAGUUGCCCCAGUGGUAUCAGAAGAGGUCCAGCCCCAAACAAAGUGGCAUCAAGGAAGUAGAAGUUGCCCCAGUGAUAUCAGAAGAGGUACAGCCCCUAACAAAGUGGCAUCAAGGAAGUAGAAGUUGCCCCAGUGAUAUCAGAAGAGGUACAUCCCCAAACAAAGUGGCAUCCAGGGAGUAGAAGUUGGCCCAGUGGUAUCAGAAGAGGUCCAGCCCCAAACAAAGUGGCAUCCAGGGAGUAGAAGUUGGCCCAACCCCUGCAGUAGACAAAGUGGAACAACAAGACAUUGAAGAUGAGGAGAAUCUUGCACAGAGUUAAACACUUCAACAGACACCUGAGCAUUGGCAUUCAUAUGAUCUACCUGUGAAGUUCAACCAGGCUUUAUAAAGCAUUACACACAAGGCAGCUAUGAUACACUGUGUUGUAAUUGGCCAAAAAUGCAGAUUGGUAACACCAGUCACCUAAGCCACCAUUGCCCUUGCAGACAAGAGUGUGAAGUAACAGCCCCUACAGUUUACAGCAAAGCCCUCGACUGUAGCCCUACAAACUUCAGAUACUGCCGAUGGCGUAGAUGCACUGAACUUUGCCAGUUUUUCAGCUAUGUUGAAUUGACAUCUCCAACUGAUUUUAAGAGCCAGGAUUGAUAUCAGACUGCUUGACAGCACGGACCUCUUUCUUGGGUGGAUGGAUUCAGAGAUGACCUACAGAUGCAGCCAUGACUGUGGCACAUGAAUGUUAUAGAUGAUGACUGUAAAGAAAUGAUGAUAGCAGAAAAAUGAAACUAUCUUAAUAUGGUUUUCUGGAAUUAAAUUAGCAGACAAAGUAUUCAUAUUUCUGUGGAAAAAUAAUGUCAUAGCUGAAAUAUGUUUUGCAAAUUCAAAAUGGUAAUGUUUUUCUCAUAUUUUAUGCUGGCAUCACAAAUAUUAUCAUUGGCUCUGUAUACGGUAAUCUCUCACUUCAAAACAUAACUAAUUGGACUAUUUGAAGAUUAAAUCUUCAUUAUUUUUAUUUAAUAUAAAAUGCUAUGCUGGUUUUACUGUCUUAAAUAAUGUUACUUAUUAUGUCUGAAAAGCCUAAAAUAAAGUUUACAAAUUU
RNA transcript from Mya arenaria, 1714 nucleotides. RefSeq lists it as uncharacterized. The transcript is spliced from 5 exons. The record is from RefSeq and is a predicted model, not a curated record. NCBI's taxonomy places the organism in Eukaryota, Metazoa, Mollusca, Bivalvia, Myida, Myidae.